RNAcentral lists this transfer RNA (66 nucleotides) under Dipodomys merriami (Merriam's kangaroo rat). RNAcentral describes it as "tRNA-Lys". The record is from RNAcentral. Lineage: Eukaryota; Metazoa; Chordata; Mammalia; Rodentia; Heteromyidae.
CAUUAUGAAGCUAUGUAAGCGUUAACCUUUUAAGUUAAAGACAGGAUAUGAAUUGUCCCAUAAUGA